Molecule: ribosomal RNA, 385 nt
Filed under: uncultured bacterium
Lineage: Bacteria
Description: bacterial SSU rRNA
Rfam family: Bacterial small subunit ribosomal RNA
Source: RNAcentral
AUUGAACGCUGGCGGCAUGCCUUACACAUGCAAGUCGAACGGCAGCGGACCUUCGGGUGCCGGCGAGUGGCGAACGGGUGAGUAAUAUAUCGGAACGUACCUUUCAGUGGGGGAUAACGUAGCGAAAGUUACGCUAAUACCGCAUAUUCUGUGAGCAGGAAAGCAGGGGAUCGCAAGACCUUGCGCUGAUUGAGCGGCCGAUAUCAGAUUAGCUAGUUGGUGAGGUAAAGGCUCACUAAGGCGACGAUCUGUAGCGGGUCUGAGAGGAUGAUCCGCCACACUGGAACUGAGACACGGUCCAGACUCCUACGGGAGGCAGCAGUGGGGAAUUUUGGACAAUGGGCGCAAGCCUGAUCCAGCCAUGCCGCGUGAGUGAAGAAGGCCU